CCGAAUGGAAGGGAGCCCCUGCUGGUUUGGGCUGGCCCUCUGUCUGGGCUGAUGGCUGAGGCCAAGGCAGGCCCAUGACUUCAGGGGCCUUUGCAGUGAGCCGUGCAGGGCCGGGUUGGCACUUGGAGCUUCCGUGUCCUUCAGGUCCGUGCCCUCUCUACCACGGGGCUGCCUGUGUCCAAAAGAGCUGGACGGAGGAGGCAGAAGAAACUGCUCAUAAAGCAAGGAAUCAUCUCAUAAUCAGAUGAACUACGACCAACCUAUGUUCUCGACGCUGGCCUUUGGAUCUAGGACUCCCCACAGGAUCCAGCGCCACCUUGUCUGAGACGCGUAACUUGACCACAUCGGCGAAGCCCUUCAUCCCAAACAAGGCCACACUCUCACCAGUUCUGGGGUGGCCCCACGUGGGCACCUCCGCACCCACCACAGGCUGGGAGGAGAGGGCUGCGGGGCGGGACCCAGCCUCCAGGGGUCAGUCCUCUUCCCCAAGACACCCCGCCGCCCCGCCGCCCCUGCUGCCCCCCAAGCCUCUAAGGGAGCAUCCCCCCCAUGACCUGCUUUCCUGCAAAAUUAGCAAACCCGGCAGACGCGCUUUCUCUCCGUGGCCCCACGAGUCCAGCUCUCCCGUCUGGGUGGACACGUGUGUGCUCUAGGCCAAGGGUCGGACCCAGGACACGAUCAGACGCAGGUUUGAAUCCUGCCGCACACACGAACCCGCUGUGUCCAUGGUCAAAGCUUUAACUUCCAGGUGGUCUUUCUCUCCCCGUCUACAAAAUGGCGACAUGAAGACCCCUGCCCUUUUGGCUUCAGAAAUAGUUUCUGGAACCCGUUUCCUCCCCACCCCCUCCCAGCAAUUUCUCUCCACUAAGAACAGACUUAAUUCUUUACAUUUAAU
Molecule: long non-coding RNA, 895 nt
Organism: Suricata suricatta (meerkat)
Lineage: Eukaryota; Metazoa; Chordata; Mammalia; Carnivora; Herpestidae
Exons: 3
Source: RefSeq, a predicted model, not a curated record